AUACGUAGGGGGCAAGCGUUAUCCGGAUUUACUGGGUGUAAAGGGAGCGUAGACGGCACUGCAAGUCUGGAGUGAAGGCCCGGGGCUCAACCCCGGGACUGCUUUGGAAACUGUGGAACUGGAGUGCAGGAGAGGUAAGUGGAAUUCCUAGUGUAGCGGUGAAAUGCGUAGAUAUUAGGAGGAACACCAGUGGCGAAGGCGGCUUACUGGACUGUAACUGACGUUGAGGCUCGAAAGCGUGGGGAGC
Molecule: ribosomal RNA, 247 nt
Filed under: uncultured bacterium
Lineage: Bacteria
Description: partial 16S ribosomal RNA
Rfam family: Bacterial small subunit ribosomal RNA
Source: RNAcentral